AGUUUGAUCAUGGCUCAGAUUGAACGCUGGCGGUAUGCUUAACACAUGCAAGUCGAACGGAAACGAUGGUAGCUUGCUACCAGGCGUCAAGUGGCGGACGGGUGAGUAACGCGUAGGAAUCUGCCCAGUAGUGGGGGACAACCAGGGGAAACCCUGGCUAAUACCGCAUAAUCUCUACGGAGAAAAGAGGGCCUCUUCUUGAAAGCUCUUGCUAUUGGAUGAGCCUGCGUGAGAUUAGCUAGUUGGUAGGGUAAAGGCCUACCAAGGCGACGAUCUCUAGCUGGUCUGAGAGGACGAUCAGCCACACUGGGACUGAGACACGGCCCAGACUCCUACGGGAGGCAGCAGUGGGGAAUAUUGGACAAUGGGCGCAAGCCUGAUCCAGCAAUACCGCGUGUGUGAAGAAGGCCUGAGGGUUGUAAAGCACUUUCAAUUGUGAAGAAAAGCCUGAGGUUAAUAGCCUUGGGUCUUGACGUUAACUUUAGAAGAAGCACCGGCUAACUCUGUGCCAGCAGCCGCGGUAAUACAGAGGGUGCGAGCGUUAAUCGGAAUUACUGGGCGUAAAGAGUACGUAGGCGGUUUAGUAAGUCAGAUGUGAAAGCCCUGGGCUCAACCUGGGAACUGCAUUUGAAACUGCUAAACUAGAGUAUGGUAGAGGGAAGUGGAAUUCAGGGUGUAGCGGUGAAAUGCGUAGAUAUCCUGAGGAACACCAGUGGCGAAGGCGACUUCCUGGACCAAUACUGACGCUGAGGUACGAAAGCGUGGGUAGCAAACAGGAUUAGAUACCCUGGUAGUCCACGCCGUAAACGAUGUCAACUAGUUGUUGGGAGCAUCUUGGCUCUUAGUAACGCAGCUAACGCGAUAAGUUGACCGCCUGGGGAGUACGGCCGCAAGGUUAAAACUCAAAGGAAUUGACGGGGGCCCGCACAAGCGGUGGAGCAUGUGGUUUAAUUCGAUGCAACGCGAAGAACCUUACCAGCCCUUGACAUCCUCGGAAGACUGCAGAGAUGCGGUUGUGCCUUCGGGAACCGAGUGACAGGUGCUGCAUGGCUGUCGUCAGCUCGUGUUGUGAAAUGUUGGGUUAAGUCCCGCAACGAGCGCAACCCCUAUCCUUAUUUGCCAGCGCAUAAUGGCGGGAACUCUAAGGAGACUGCCGGUGACAAACCGGAGGAAGGGGGGGACGACGUCAAGUCAUCAUGGCCCUUACGAGUAGGGCUACACACGUGCUACAAUGGCAUGUACAAAGGGUCGCAAUGCCGCGAGGUGGAGCGAAUCCCAGAAAGCUUGUCGUAGUCCGGAUCGGAGUCUGCAACUCGACUCCGUGAAGUCGGAAUCGCUAGUAAUCGUGGAUCAGAAUGCCACGGUGAAUACGUUCCCGGGCCUUGUACACACCGCCCGUCACACCAUGGGUGUGGGAUGCAAAAGAAGUAGCUAGUUUAACUGUUUACAGGGGACGGUUACCACGGUGUGAUUCAUGACUGGGGUAAAGUCGUAACAAGGUAACC
Molecule: ribosomal RNA, 1505 nt
Filed under: uncultured prokaryote
Description: partial 16S ribosomal RNA
Rfam family: Bacterial small subunit ribosomal RNA
Source: RNAcentral